Molecule: long non-coding RNA, 1807 nt
Organism: Oryzias javanicus (javanese ricefish)
Lineage: Eukaryota; Metazoa; Chordata; Actinopteri; Beloniformes; Adrianichthyidae
Source: Ensembl
GUUUGUUGACAAGGCAUGAAGCCUUAAGCUCCUCCCACAUGGGGUGUUGUCCCGACUGAGAAAUUACUUUCACUUUCUCUUAACUCAGAACGGUGAGUGGACUUUUUAUGUCUGUAAAUCUACAUUAUAGUUGUGUAUUAAAGUUUAUUUUAAUUACGUUUAUAGCUUAGAAUAACUUGUAAUGCUGAGCCGUGCCUUUUUUUUCUUUUAUCUUAAAUGACUCGUGGUUUCUUCUCUCUUUCUCUUUAGUUUAUUGACACAGAACAUUUUUUAACCUUUUUUUUAUGAAAAAUCAUUUUAUUCCAAAUUUAAGAUAAAAUAACAGACCUCGUUCUUCAAAAGGUGGAAACAUGACGACUCUACUUGAGAAAAUAGAAAACUACGGCGCACAGGCAGCUUUUAAACUGAGAGGUGCAGGUUUUCAGACGGACUCUGAGAUUCAGACUCUGACUCCAGAAAAACUAGAAGAACUGUUUCCUGGACAAGAGAAUCUAAAUCUGAGAAAGGACAUCUUGAAAAUAAUUCAGAAUCAGGAGGAACGUAAAGGUGUCAUCGUCAUGACUUCCAUUUGUCACUUUGUCUCUUCUCUUCUAAAGAGAAUCCAAGGAUUUGUCAUCUGGAGUUUACGGCGCAUUGAUCGCAUUUUGGGUGGUUUUCCAAGCAGAUUCUUUGCACCAGUCUUCAGGACCAUUGAUCAAACUCUCUAUGGUUAUCCAAGCAAAACCUUAGGAUUUGUCUCCUCGAUUGUCAUUGAUCCUCUACUGAUGAUCCCAGGGAUUUUCAUCUGGAUUUUGCUCCCCAAUGAUAACACUUUCUAUGGUCUUCGAAAGGUAACCCUAGGAGCAGUGAUGUACAAGAGGAGGGUCUAUGGUGAAACCUUUGGAGCUCAUCUUCAGCUUUUGGACCAAAUUCAGACUUCAGGAUUAAAUUUGAUUGAAGGAAAUGAUAAAGAAAGCUGCAUCACCAUCGUUUUCUGUCCUCUUACAUCUCGGAUUGGAACAGAUGCUGAAGCAGCCAUGAGGGUGGUUCCAGGUAAUGAUCCAGUCAUUCUGGUCCUCAUGCAUUACUUCCAGGAACCCAAACACAUCCCCUCCUCACAAGUCUUACCCAGUUACAGUUACCCUAACGUUGUCUUGGAGGUCCAUGUUUUCUACCAUGAAAGACAGAACGGUUUGUUGAGAUGUGACCAAAACGAGAAAGCUGUAAAUGAGUUAAAGGAAGAACUGAUGAAGCAUCACAGACCAUGAAGCUGUUACUCUGACAAUAAAGAUCAAAGCGACUGUUGUACUAUCCUGUCAUCAAAUCUGAUGUGUUGGUAACUUUGGUAUACAGUUGUUUUUGGUAACAGACUAAAUCUGUGUAGUGGUUAAAACCUGUUUUCUUUAACUGCAGAGACAGUUUUCACUUUUCAAAAAUGGAAUAAUUCACUUUUUUGCCUCUAUUUACAUUGCAUUAAUAAAUAAGGAACUUUUUUUUUUUUUUUUGUUACAUAAUUGAAUUCAAUUUACAAAAUAUUAAGAUGUUCUAUUGUGUGCUGCAGCACUAUGUUGUUAUGGAGAGGAAAUAUUAAAAGCCCUUUUGUGUUCUUCAAGUAAUGGAUUUCUAACCUUCAUUCUCAUUAACAAUAAAAUUCAAUUUCAUAAAUAGUCUGGAUCUUUGUUUUUUAAAUGUUUUAGUUUUACUGUAAUUUUUGCAAUAACAAACUGUAAGUGUGCAAUGUGUUCCUUAUCAACAUCCUUUUUUUUUUUUUUCUUUUUUCUAACUUGUCCUGUCCAACAGCUGAGCAAGCAGAUACGGGCUGAGAGCC